RNAcentral lists this ribosomal RNA (484 nucleotides) under uncultured bacterium. RNAcentral's name for it is "partial 16S ribosomal RNA". It matches the Rfam family "Bacterial small subunit ribosomal RNA", at positions 28 to 523 of the family's 1533-position model. The record is from RNAcentral.
GACGAACGCUGGCGGCGUGCUUAACACAUGCAAGUCGAACGACGAAGCUGGAGCUUGCUCCGGUGGAUUAGUGGCGAACGGGUGAGUAACACGUGAGAAAUCUGCCCUUGACUCUGGGAUAACUGCGGGAAACUGUAGCUAAUACCGGAUAUUUUCCUUGGUGGGCAUCCACUGGGGAAGAAAGAAUUUCGGUCAAGGAUGAUCUCGCGGCCCAUCAGCUAGUUGGUGAGGUAAUGGCUCACCAAGGCGACGACGGGUAGCCGGCCUGAGAGGGUGACCGGCCACACUGGGACUGAGACACGGCCCAGACUCCUACGGGAGGCAGCAGUGGGGAAUGUUGCACAAUGGGCGCAAGCCUGAUGCAGCAACGCCGCGUGAGGGAUGAAGGCCUUCGGGUUGUAAACCUCUUUUAGCAGGGAAGAAGCGAAAGUGACGGUACCUGCAGAAAAAGCACCGGCUAACUACGUGCCAGCCGCCGCCGUAA